AAUCAACGCUGGCGGCGUGCCUCAGACAUGCAAGUCGAACGAUUAAAGCUCUCUUCGGAGAGUGCAUAGAGUGGCGCACGGGUGAGUAACACGUAAGUAAUCUACCCUCGAGUGGGGAAUAACGUCCGGAAACGGACGCUAAUACCGCAUAAUGCAGCGGCACCGCAAGGUGACAGUUGUUAAAGGAGAAAUUCGCUUGAGGAGGAGCUUGCGGCAGAUUAGCUUGUUGGUAGGUAACGGCUUACCAAGGCUACGAUCUGUAACCGGUCUUAGAGGACGGUCGGUCACACUGACACUGAAUAACGGGUCAGACUCCUACGGGAGGCAGCAGUCGGGAAUUUUGGGCAAUGGGCGAAAGCCUGACCCAGCAACGCCGCGUG
RNAcentral lists this ribosomal RNA (380 nucleotides) under uncultured bacterium. Its description in RNAcentral is "bacterial SSU rRNA". It matches the Rfam family "Bacterial small subunit ribosomal RNA", at positions 32 to 403 of the family's 1533-position model. The record is from RNAcentral.